RNAcentral lists this ribosomal RNA (429 nucleotides) under Actinomycetes bacterium. RNAcentral describes it as "Actinobacteria bacterium partial 16S ribosomal RNA". It matches the Rfam family "Bacterial small subunit ribosomal RNA", at positions 355 to 776 of the family's 1533-position model. Lineage: Bacteria; Bacillati; Actinomycetota; Actinomycetes. The record is from RNAcentral.
UAGGGAAUCUUCCGCAAUGGGCGAAAGCCUGACGGAGCAACGCCGCGUGAGUGAUGAAGGUCUUCGGAUCGUAAAACUCUGUUAUUAGGGAAGAACAAAUGUGUAAGUAACUAUGCACGUCUUGACGGUACCUAAUCAGAAAGCCACGGCUAACUACGUGCCAGCAGCCGCGGUAAUACGUAGGUGGCAAGCGUUAUCCGGAAUUAUUGGGCGUAAAGCGCGCGUAGGCGGUUUUUUAAGUCUGAUGUGAAAGCCCACGGCUCAACCGUGGAGGGUCAUUGGAAACUGGAAAACUUGAGUGCAGAAGAGGAAAGUGGAAUUCCAUGUGUAGCGGUGAAAUGCGCAGAGAUAUGGAGGAACACCAGUGGCGAAGGCGACUUUCUGGUCCGUAACUGACGCUGAUGUGCGAAAGCGUGGGGAUCAAACAGG